RNAcentral lists this ribosomal RNA (253 nucleotides) under uncultured bacterium. RNAcentral describes it as "partial 16S ribosomal RNA". It matches the Rfam family "Bacterial small subunit ribosomal RNA", at positions 524 to 776 of the family's 1533-position model. The record is from RNAcentral.
UACGGAGGGAGCUAGCGUUGUUCGGAAUUACUGGGCGUAAAGCGCACGUAGGCGGCUUUGUAAGUUAGAGGUGAAAGCCUGGAGCUCAACUCCAGAAUAGCCUUUAAGACUGCAUCGCUUGAAUCCAGGAGAGGUGAGUGGAAUUCCGAGUGUAGAGGUGAAAUUCGUAGAUAUUCGGAAGAACACCAGUGGCGAAGGCGACUCGCUGGACAGGUAUUGACGCUGAGGUGCGAAAGCGUGGGGAGCAAACAGG